This 468-nucleotide ribosomal RNA is filed under the name uncultured bacterium. Its description in RNAcentral is "partial 16S ribosomal RNA". It matches the Rfam family "Bacterial small subunit ribosomal RNA", at positions 28 to 507 of the family's 1533-position model. The record is from RNAcentral.
GACGAACGCUGGCGGCGUGCUUAACACAUGCAAGUCGAACGGAAAGGCCCUGCUUUUGUGGGGUGCUCGAGUGGCGAACGGGUGAGUAACACGUGAGUAACCUGCCCUUGACUUUGGGAUAACUUCAGGAAACUGGGGCUAAUACCGGAUAGGGGCUCCUGCUGCAUGGUGGGGGUUGGAAAGUUUCGGCGGUUGGGGAUGGACUCGCGGCUUAUCAGCUUGUUGGUGGGGUAGUGGCUUACCAAGGCUUUGACGGGUAGCCGGCCUGAGAGGGUGACCGGCCACAUUGGGACUGAGAUGCGGCCCAGACUCCUACGGGAGGCAGCAGUGGGGAAUAUUGCACAAUGGGCGGAAGCCUGAUGCAGCAACGCCGCGUGCGGGAUGACGGCCUUCGGGUUGUAAACCGCUUUCGCCUGUGACGAAGCGUGAGUGACGGUAAUGGGUAAAGAAGCACCGGCUAACUACGUG